CUCGUAGGCGGCCAACUAAGUCAGACGUGAAAUCCCUCAGCUUAACUGGGGAACUGCGUCUGAUACUGGAUGGCUUGGAUUCGGGAGAGGGAUGCGGAAUUCCAGGUGUAGCGGUGAAAUGCGUAGAUAUCUGGAGGAACACCGGUGGCGAAGGCGGCAUCCUGGACCGAUAUUGACGCUGAGGAGCGAAAGCCAGGGGAGCAAACGGGAUUAGAUACCCCGGUAGUCCUGGCCCUAAACGAUGAAUGCUUGGUGUAGCGGGUAUCGAUCCCUGCUGUGCCGAAGCUAACGCAUUAAGCAUUCCGCCUGGGGAGUACGGUCGCAAGGCUGAA
This 332-nucleotide ribosomal RNA is filed under the name uncultured Acidobacteriota bacterium. RNAcentral describes it as "bacterial SSU rRNA". It matches the Rfam family "Bacterial small subunit ribosomal RNA", at positions 568 to 898 of the family's 1533-position model. Lineage: Bacteria; Pseudomonadati; Acidobacteriota. The record is from RNAcentral.